GAGCGCCGUAGCAAUACGGAGCGGCAGACGGGAGAGUAACACGUGGGAACGUGCCCUUCAGUUCGGAACAACCCAGGGAAACUUGGGCUAAUACCGGAUACGUCCGAAAGGAGAAAGAUUUAUCGCUGAAGGAUCGGCCCGCGUCUGAUUAGCUAGUUGGUGAGGUAACGGCUCACCAAGGCGACGAUCAGUAGCUGGUCUGAGAGGAUGAUCAGCCUCACUGGGACUGAGACACGGCCCAGACUCCUACGGGAGGCAGCAGUGGGGAAUAUUGGACAAUGGGCGCAAGCCUGAUCCAGCCAUGCCGCGUGGAUGAUGAAGGCCCUAGGGUUGUAAAGUCCUUUCGGCGGGGAAGAUAAUGACGGUACCCGCAGAAGAAGCCCCGGCUAACUUCGUGCCAGCAGCCGCGGUAAUACGAAGGGGGCUAGCGUUGCUCGGAAUCACUGGGCGUAAAGCGCACGUAGGCGGCUUUUUAAGUCAGGGGUGAAAUCCUGGAGCUCAACUCCAGAACUGCCUUUGAUACUGAGAAGCUUGAGUCCGGGAGAGGUGAGUGGAACUGCGAGUGUAGAGGUGAAAUUCGUAGAUAUUCGCAAGAACACCAGUGGCGAAGGCGGCUCACUGGCCCGGUACUGACGCUGAGGUGCGAAAGCGUGGGGA
This 657-nucleotide ribosomal RNA is filed under the name uncultured forest soil bacterium. RNAcentral's name for it is "bacterial SSU rRNA". It matches the Rfam family "Bacterial small subunit ribosomal RNA", at positions 64 to 767 of the family's 1533-position model. The record is from RNAcentral.